This is a long non-coding RNA of Rhodamnia argentea, 206 nucleotides long. RefSeq lists it as uncharacterized. Lineage: Eukaryota; Viridiplantae; Streptophyta; Magnoliopsida; Myrtales; Myrtaceae. The transcript has 2 exons. The record is from RefSeq and is a predicted model, not a curated record.
AGUAUUCAUCGCAGACACCAACCAAACACAAUGCUUAAGUACCAGUACAAUAAGGCUUGAGAUCACCUUCUAACUUUUGUAUGCAAGAAGAUUGCAGUAUUGCCCCUAAAAUCAUUUGAAGUCUCCGAAUCAGUGAGAAUUCAUUUAUGAUUAAAUAUUACAAGUAAGUUCGACCCCCGGAAAAAAAAUGAGAAAGAGAAAUAUCA